CCCACUUCGGAUAAAAACAUCCACUCGUCUCCAGCGCGGCGUCGUCUUCUUCCUUCCUUAAUAUCACUCUCUCUCUCUCUCCUUCUCCUUAUCUAGUCUUCCGAUCCACGUUAGGGAGGAAGAAGAGUCUCUCUUCUCUUCUAAUCGUCUUGAACGGAUUUUUUUUAAAAAUUAAUCGUCUUGAAGGGCCCCCAUCGCAGAUUUUGGGUGGUGGGGGGUGAGCCACAAGGUCUGCGGAGGAGGGUCAGCAUGACAACAUCGCAGAUCUAAGGAGGAUAGGGCAGCCAAUGCCAGAUCUGGGGAGAAAGAGGGAUUCCUUAAGCGACGCUAAUUCCUUCCACCCCUUUCCAAUCCUUCUCCCGAACCCUCGAAUCCCCAGAACCUAACUCAUGUUUCUUGAUUCAGCCCUUUGGAGAAGCUGGUGCAGAUCGAGUACGCUCUGAUGGCCGUCGGAUCCGGCCAAACAUCUCUUGGAAUCAAGGGCAGGAUUCAGAGGUCCCCAGGUAUCAUGGAAAAAAGCUGUCAUUCCUCCACCACCAUCCCCAAUCCCGCCGCCGCCGCCGCCGCCAAUACCAGCAGCUCUCUUAGCACCACCACCUCCUCCUCCUCCUCCUCCUCCACCACCACCACUAGCUCUCACAUCCGAACCUCCCUCAAGUCCCUCAACAAGGCCUCUUAUAAGAUCUCUAAGCCACUCACCAAAAAUCCAAACCCUAACUCCGCCCGCCCCUCCCCGCCGCCCGCCGCGAUAAAUAGCGGCGGCGCUCCGCCCCAGCAGUCGCAGCCCCCCGUCUACAACAUCGACAAGAACGACUUCCGCGACGUCGUCCAGAAGCUCACCGGAUCCCCCGUCCACCACCACCCCCGCCCGGCGGCGCCUCCUCCUCCUCCUCCCCCUCCCGCCGCCGCUCCUGCCGCCACCUCCCGCCUCCAUCGCAUCCGUCCGCCGCCCCUCGCCCAUCUAGCACCCCAGCACUCUCCACUUACCCCCGCGCCCCCGCCGCCGGCCGCCUCCGCUGCCGACGUCUGGACGAGGCCCCCCCUCUCCCCGCUCCCCCCCUUCCCCACCGUCAGCGCCGCCGCGGAGUCGCCCAUCUCCGCCUACAUGCGCCGCCUCCACAGCGGCGGGGGCGGGCAGCCGCCGCUGGUGCCCUCGCCGACGGCGGCGGCGGCGGCGAUGCUGCUCCCCCCGCCGACUUCGCCGUUAGGGUUCGGGUGCCUGCCGUCUCCCCGGUCAGCGUACCAGAUGAUGCUCUCGCCGGGCAUGGUGUUCCCGACCUCGCCAGGAGUGCCCUUGCCGAGCCCGAGGUUGGGGGAUCCGUGAAGGGAGGGCUCCGAUGCUUCCUUUCUCUGGAUCAGCCUGCUCUCCAGCUCAGAAGGGUUUUUUAGCCAUAUCUCCGAGGUACAUAGAAACAGGUAUUUAUCUGAAUUUUGAGGUUGGACCCUUCCAUAAUUUGUUUUACUGGCAAAAAACAUCUGCUGCUCUGAUUGAUGCAAGAGGUUAUCCAAGAAAGUUCUUUUAAUGGAUGGUUCAGGGGAGCUUUGCCCAUGGUUUUGUUGCUGCAAUAGCAUUUGAGGUAUAUGCUGGAAUACCUUAGGCUGUAUGCUGGAUUACCUAAUGCCGGAGUGUUGACGGUCCCACAGCUAAAACAAAGUUGGCCUUAUGAUUCUUUGAGCUGCUAUGCAGCUGAAGUGAUCUCGCCCAAGCUAGAACUCAAUUAGAUGUUCCCCAUUCAAUCUUCAUGGAGCCUGCGAAUGAUGGAAUCGUUCCUUCGGGGGAAAGGAAUUGUUAUGGCCGAUAAGCCUUAGGAUUGGGCGGCCAGAUACAUUUCUAUAUCAAUUGUUUCAUCAAAGAAUGCCAUAUCGGUUGAUACCAGUACAUACCGAUCAUACCAUACCAUAUAGGUACUAAAUUGGUACGGCAUAUGUAUUGGACAUAUCAAUAUGGUAACAUAUUGGUAUCGAUACGAAGUCUGGUAUUAAGAUGGGUUAUUUUGGUUUUUCAUUAGUAAAAAUCUAAUUUGAUUUAAUCAUGCUGAUCUCAUUAAUAUUUUAGGUAGAGAUUUUUGUUGCCGGUUGUCCAACUCAGUUUUCACAUUUUGCAAACUCAGCCAUUUCAUCAAGCGAGUUUUAGAAUCAGAAUGACCAUAUUCUCUAUCAUAUUUAGUUCAUGAUUAAAAUCAGAAUGGCCAUAUUCUCUAUCAUAUUUGGUUCAUGAUUAAAAUUAGAAUCGUAAUGAAAUUUGAAUACUAGGAAAGAAUCAGAAUUGAGUUUUGGAGGGAUUGAGCAUUCUUAUUCUUUCUAGAAUUAGAAUGGGAAUGGAGUUUUUUCUAACCAAAUGGCUGUAAUGGGAAUCAUUUAUUCCAA
Molecule: non-coding RNA, 2367 nt
Organism: Phoenix dactylifera (date palm)
Lineage: Eukaryota; Viridiplantae; Streptophyta; Magnoliopsida; Arecales; Arecaceae
Source: RefSeq, a predicted model, not a curated record